GACGAACGCUGGCGGCGUGCUUAACGCAUGCAAGUCGAACGGAAAGGCCUGCUUUCCCUUGUGGAUUGCGGGUACUCGAGUGGCGAACGGGUGAGUAACACGUGAGUGAUCUGCCCCCAACUUGGGUAUAAGCCUGGGAAACUGGGUCUAAUUCCCGAUAGGACUGCAGGGUGGUGCCUGUGGUGGAAAACGAUUUUCUAGUGGUUGGGGAUGAGCUCGCGGCCUAUCAGCUUGUUGGUGGGGUAAUGGCCUACCAAGGCGGCGACGGGUAGCCGGCCUGGGAGGGUGGACGGCCACAUUGGGACUGAGAUACGGCCCAGACUCCUACGGGAGGCAGCAGUGGGGAAUAUUGCACAAUGGGCGGAAGCCUGAUGCAGCGACGCCGCGUGGGGGAUGACGGCCUUCGGGUGGUAAACUCCUUUCGACCGCGAGGAAGCCACCUGGUUGGAAGGGUGGUGACGGUAGUGGUAGAAGAAGCACCGGCUAACUACGUG
This 494-nucleotide ribosomal RNA is filed under the name uncultured bacterium. RNAcentral's name for it is "partial 16S ribosomal RNA". It matches the Rfam family "Bacterial small subunit ribosomal RNA", at positions 28 to 507 of the family's 1533-position model. The record is from RNAcentral.